This 2134-nucleotide long non-coding RNA is filed under the name Homo sapiens (human). Its description in RNAcentral is "PREDICTED lncRNA (TCONS_00069148)". The record is from RNAcentral. Lineage: Eukaryota; Metazoa; Chordata; Mammalia; Primates; Hominidae.
GAGAUUGCCAUCUACCAGGGUAUUCUCUCCCACCUCUUUCCCACCCCAGGUCAUCACCAGUGAAAGUUCUGACACUUGCACUUCUCCGGCAAGCCAGGGCCGGGGCUUCACUGCCAGCCAGCAGGAGGAUGAGCCAGCUCUGCAGUUCCACUUCAGAGUCCAUCUUCUUGGAUCACUCUUGGCACCAACUGUAUUGAGUUGAGUUCUGGGAAAUAGACUUGCAGGUCAUACGAAAACAAGUAUAAUAAUGUAUUUUGCCUAUAGGUGCCAAGACCUGCAUUGUUUCCUUUCAGAUACUUUUCUUUAUUGUAUUUGGGAACAAACCAGCUAUAGCAUGAGGAAGGGAUGUCAGGUGGAGAUAGAAGAGAAGAAAACUGGAUGUGCCAACACUGUCAUACACAGGGAUUUUCAGCAGUUUCAUGAAGCUACUGGAAGAUCUUUUCUUUGCUUGCCUAUAAACCCAUGCCAUCCAGUUCUCUCAGUCAUAGUGAGCUAUUCCUGGAAAAGCCCUUGCAUCAAUCAGUGUCCCAACAGGAAAUGGUUGGCAUCCCAGAUGAAGAUGAUAAAGGGACUGUUUACAAAGUUUUGGGGAAACUCCAAGGAAUAGUUUAAUAGCCCAGUCCUGUUACCACCCCUGCACCCAAAGUGACAAGGGGAGGGGGUGGAGACUGGGACAUGGGAAAAUCAUCUAGGGAAGGAUACCUUUACUGGAUCAGCAGCCUUCAGUUGGAGGAACACAGCCAGCUCCUGGUGACCCCACAGGGAGAGAGCGGGAGCACUAAGGAUUCCAAACUCAGUCCUCCUGAUCUUCAUCAGUAUUCGUCAUUGGCCAAACAAAUAACUGAAAUUCAGAGGGCAAGAGAGCUCAUUGUUAUCUAAACAGGUCAGCAUGGCAGACAGCGAGGCGAAGAGGGAAGGAAGGUGGAUUUGGAAGAACAAACGGGAGUGACCUAGUGCAGCCCUGAUAAACCCGCUGGGAGCUACCAGAGUAUUUGACCUUGGGCACAGCUGGGGUGGCCCCGAUGGCGCUGCUGUCUGCUGAUGGUCUCCACAGCUUCCCCAGCGAGGCCUUCCUGGAAGGAGUGCUGAGCAGCAAAGCUCUGUGGUCACCACUCAGGACAAAGGGGAACCAGCUGAACAGAGCCUUUCAUGUGACAACAAAAAACGACCUGGCUCAAACAUCACGACAGGCAUCUGUGGAGCCUGGGAAAUGACCUUUCUCAUGGGGAGAACACAGAACACACAAAGCUUUCUCUUAAAAGUCUACAAAAUUAUAAUCUGAUAACAACAGAACGUUUUGGUAUUUUGAGUAAUAGGUGUCACAUCGGAAUUGAUAUUUGCCAAAUUUGGCAUGAUAAUUGAAUGCUUUUUGCUUAUUUAUAUUUCAUAUUUUAGUUGUUUUCUAAUAACCAAAAACAUUUGUGUAUUUUUAAUAAUAGUAGAGGUAAAUGAAAUUUUACAUGUCAGUAAAAAAACUGAAAGAUGAUGCUUGUAAUUUCAAGUCGAUUAAAGAAAAUUAUUAAUAAAACAAUAAAAUACAAAUUAUACAUUUUAUAUUGUGAUACUUAAAGUAGAUGACCUGGUUUAUCCCUGAAGAGAAAGCAUGGAUGCAUAAACCAGACCAUAUUGUAAAUAUUUCAAAUUCAUUGGUAAACAUUGUUUUAAGAAGGUGAUUAGCAAAUAUUGUUUCAAGAAGGUGAUUAAGAAGGUGAUGCAAAAUUUGGAGUACUUUCUGUUUUGUAUUUUUCGUGACUAUUUGUGAGCACUUGGUGCUUAAGACACACUCAAAGAGGUACUGACAAUUUAUCAUAUUCUAAAGCAAUAAAACAGGUUGAAAAUAUCUAAUCAGCUUCCUGGCUAAUCAAGUAAAUGUUACAGAAAUGGGUCAAUAAGACGGUUAGAAAACCCAGCAACUCCCUAGUAUAGACCUCUUCCUUGAGCUCCAAAUCAGAUAGCUUUAUCCAUCUCUCUGAAAAGCAUCUCCAAUUUGAAACCUCUUUCUAUUUCACCUGCUUCACCUGACAGGACCUACCUCCCCAUCACCCACAGAUCCACUGGCCCAGGUGUGUGUACCUAGUCCACCCAAUCGCCAAAGCCAGGAACCUGGGGGCAGCCCAGGCUCCUUCCCCCUUCU